CGGCCCACGCGUACGACCCGUUUUCACGGCCUUGAAACGUAACUGCAUUUCGAAAAAGAAAACAAAAGAAACGAAGCGCACGAAGUGCACGAAUCGGGAAAUCGUAACUCCUACGAACCUAUCUUCUCUCCUGCUACGAAACCCUUCAUCGUCACUUCUGCAAGUUGCACCGUUUUCGUCACUUAUGCAAGUUGCACCGUUUUCGUCGCUUCAUAAUUCCAUAACCGUCUCGCCAUCUCUUCAACCCGUCCCAGCUGCCGCAACUACCACCGUAGCGGUUCAGGUAGCCGUUAUUACCAAAUCGUCGCUGUACCCUAAUUCUUCGUCAACCAGUUCUCUCACACGAAUGUUUUCACUUUUAAAUAAUGGAAGAAAUAGUUGCAUCUUCCGAUAAAAAGGAAAUAAAGGAAGGAAAUAAAAGAUGUGAUGAUAGUUUAGUGGCAAUUGUUGCUUGUGAUGAAGAUGAAAAACCUAGAACUGGAAUGACAUUUGGUUCCGAAGAAGAUGUUACUCGAUAUUACACUAAUUAUGCUAAACGUAUGGGUUUUGGAGUUGGGAAAAUAAGUUCAAAAAAUGGUGAUGAUGGAAGGAAAUACUUUACUCUAGCAUGUAAUUGUGCAAGAAAGUAUGUGAGCACUUCAAAGAAUCCUUCAAAGCAAUAUCUUACCUCGAAAACACAAUGUAGAGCUAGGUUGAAUGCGUGUAUAGCUUUAGAUGGAACAAUUACCGUUUCAAGAGUUGUUCUUGAACAUAAUCACGAACUUGGCCAAACCAAAGGACGGUAUUUUAGAUUGGACAAGAAUUUGGGGCCUCGUGUAGAGAAGAAUUUAGAACUUAGUGAUCAAGCUGCAGUCAAUGUUAGCAGAAGUCUUCAAUUUGUGGGUGUUGAAACGAAUGGGUGUGAGAAUUUUACUUUUGGGGAAAAAGAUUGUAGAAACCAUGUACACAAAGUAAGGCGGCUAAAACUUGGGAGAGGAGAUGUUGAUGCAGUUCAUAGCUUUUUUUUUAGAAUGCAAAAGAAAAAUAGUCAAUUUUAUUAUGCAAUUGAUAUGGAUGAUAAAAGGAAUUUACAAAAUUUAUUUUGGGCAGAUGCGAGGUGUAGGGCUGCAGAUGAGUAUUUUGGUGAAGUCAUAACUUUUGACACCACUUAUUUUAGAAAUAAGUAUGACUUGCCAUUGGCCCUUUUCGUUGGAGUGAACCAUCAUGGCCAGUCUAUUUUGUUGGGGUGUGCAAUAUUGUCGAACGUGGAUACUAAAACUCUUACUUGGUUGUUCACAAGAUGGUUGGAAUGUAUGCAUGGACAUGCUCCAAAUGGAAUAAUUACUGAUGAUGAUAAAGCAAUGAAAAAUGCAAUUGAGGUUGCCUUUCCAAAAGCUCGUCAUCGAUGGUGCUUGUGGCAUAUAAUACAAAAGAUCCCAGAAAUGUUAGGUAGACGCUCUUGUUACGAGUCUAUCAAAACACUUAUGCAUGAUGUGGUAUAUGAUUCUCAAAGCAAAAGUGAUUUCAUGGAGAGGUGGGGAAAUAUGAUAGAACAUUACAAACUACAUGAUAAUGAAUGGCUAAAAGAGUUAUUUGAUGAGCGGUAUCGUUGGGUUCCCGUGUAUGUGAAAGACACGUUUUGGGCUGGACUGUCAACUACACAAAGGAAGGAAAGUAUAUACUCAUUUUUUGAUGGUUACGUAAGUUCAAACACAACGUUGAAGCAAUUUGUUGAACAAUAUGAUGAUGUAUUGAAUGAUAAAAUUGAAAAGGAAAGCAUGACUGAUUUUGAUUCAUUUAACACAACAAUUGCAUGUGUAAGUCAUUUUGGCUUUGAGGUUCAAUUUCAAAAAGCAUUCACCAAUGCAAAAUUCAAAGAAUUUCAAGUAGAAGUUUCUUCUAUGAUGUAUUGUAAUACUAGUUUUGAGAGAUUGGAGGACUUGAAUUCAAUAUUCUCUGUUACUGAAAAUAAGAAAGUAAACGAGAAAAUUAAAGAUAUGGUGUUUAAGGUAUCUUUCUAUGAAAAAGACUUCAAAUUGCAGUGUACAUGUCGCUUAUUUGAGUUUAAAGGAAUUUUAUGUAGACACAUUCUUUGUGUGCUUAAGCUCAUUGGCAAAACUGAUUCAGUGCCACCUUAUUAUAUCUUGUCACGGUGGAGGAAGUAUGUAAAGCGGAGAUAUACAUUGAUUAAACGUGGCUUUGAAGAAUUGCAACGUGUUAAUAAAGCAUGUGAUGCCUUUUACGAAGUUGCUUCUACAAGCAUAAACUCUGAAGAAGAUUUACUGAAAAUGAUGAAUUGGAUCAAGGACUUGAAAAAUGUAUUAACUUGUAAAGGGCCAUCCUCCAGGAUUAUAGAAGAAAAUAGUUCAAUUCCAAACCAUGUAACUAGGAUUCUUGACUCAGCCGUAUGUCAGAGUAAUGGGUGUCCUCCUUCAAAAAGGAAGACAUCUGACAUUGAUCAAAUUUUGAAGAAGAAGCUUGCAAGAAAUAAAACUCAAAAGAACAACCAGGAAAACAAAAAGGGUCAAAGUCAAGAAGAGGGCUUGUGUACACCUAUUGUUCAAGAAGUUGAAGAACAUAUUGGCGAUAUAAGCCAGGUUUUAUAUUGUACUCAAACCAUAAGCCAGAAUGGGUCCUGUUCUGAACCUGUACUGGUAUUGAUUAUAUCUUUUCUGGUAACGUGGUCAAACUUUGAUAUGAAAUCUGUAAUUUUUUUGGCCAUGUGUUUUUUUACAGGCACAACACAAUAGGAAUGAUCAACUAUCAUCAUAAAGACAUAGAUCAGCCGCUACUCUGAGCAUGAUAAUUAUAGUUGUUCCUUGUUAAAAGAAGUGGGUUGCUUUUGCAAAUAUUUAGAUAUUUCUUAUACCAUUUAAAUAGUUGAACACAGGUUAGGGAAACGGAGAACCAUCAUCCCAACUAGGCGUGCUUGCUUGGCAAUGUUCUCUUGCUUCGGAUCAUGUUCUAUGUACAUGUCUUGUUCAGGUGUUGAAUAAUCAAACUUGAUAUGGAUUGGUUCUGAUGAUGUUUCUGUUUGAGACUUGUGAUGUGGUUUGGUUUGGACAAUACUAGUCUUGGGAUUUGAUGAUGGAUAAUUUGAACCAUUGGGGAUUUGUUUGUGUUCUUGAUUGAUGCUUGAGAUUCUUUGAAUUGCUUGGAGAGCAGGAUUGCUUGCAAAGACAUGACGGAUUUUGGUGCACACAGAAGAAUUUGAUGAACUGUUGUUGUUUUCCAUAGAAUUG
This is an RNA transcript of Lathyrus oleraceus (garden pea), 3221 nucleotides long. It is a transcript of the gene named protein FAR-RED IMPAIRED RESPONSE 1, with no coding region annotated. NCBI's taxonomy places the organism in Eukaryota, Viridiplantae, Streptophyta, Magnoliopsida, Fabales, Fabaceae. The transcript is spliced from 6 exons. The record is from RefSeq and is a predicted model, not a curated record.